Molecule: non-coding RNA, 651 nt
Organism: Carassius carassius (crucian carp)
Lineage: Eukaryota; Metazoa; Chordata; Actinopteri; Cypriniformes; Cyprinidae
Source: the annotation of a RefSeq genome assembly
UAAUUGUUUUUUAUUUCAGGCCUUUGACUGAGACUGAGCGACUGUCUCCAGGUAAAUGAUGUGAGUGUGUUUGCAUAUUGAUCAGAUGCUUCAGUGCUCUGAGAGUGUUUAUAGUGCUGUGAGUUUAACACUUCAUCACUGACACACACAACAAUCUUCAUCAACAUGACCUUCAUCAUCAUCUUCAUCUGGACUCUCACAGCGUUUGCUCAAGAGUGUAGAGGACAGAUCAGCGUCACUCAGAGUCCCUCAACGACAGCAGCUCAACCAGGAGAAACAGUGAAGAUCAACUGUAGAACCAGCAGAGAUGUGUAUUACAGUAGUGGUUAUCAUUAUUUAGCCUGGUACUUACAGAAACCUGGAGAAGCUCCUAAACUCCUGAUUUAUUAUACAAGCACCCUCCAGUCAGGAACUCCAUCUAGAUUCAGUGGCAGUGGAUCUAACAGUGAUUUCACUCUGACCAUCAGUGGAGUCCAGACUGAAGAUGCUGGACAUUAUUACUGUCAGAGUUUACACUAUAUCAGUAGUAGCUGGGUGUUCACACAGUGAUUGUGAGUUGUACAAAAACCUCUGUCAGUCAGAGUCACAGUGACUGAACUGAUGCUGCAGCUGCUUAAAGGAGGAUCUGAAACAACAUCAUCACACAAACAU